Molecule: ribosomal RNA, 253 nt
Filed under: uncultured bacterium
Lineage: Bacteria
Description: partial 16S ribosomal RNA
Rfam family: Bacterial small subunit ribosomal RNA
Source: RNAcentral
UACGAAGGGGGCUAGCGUUGCUCGGAAUCACUGGGCGUAAAGGGUGCGUAGGCGGGUCUUUAAGUCAGGGGGGAAAUCCUGGAGCUCAACUCCAGAACUGCCUUUGAUACUGAAGAUCUUGAGUUCGGGAGAGGUGAGUGGAGCUGCGAGUGUAGAGGUGAAAUUCGUAGAUAUUCGCAAGAACACCAGUGGCGAAGGCGGCUCACUGGCCCGAUACUGACGCUGAUGCACGAAAGCGUGGGGAGCAAACAGG